GCUGAAUCUUUCUCCAUCUCAUCAUGUACUAUCCUCCCAAGUGUAGUACCAAAAAUCUCCUGUUUUCGUCGUACUUGCCUGAUAUAACCAUCCAUCCCCCACCGGCUUAUAAAAUCGGCAUACGAAGUGCACAAGGCUCUCUACCACUGAAGGAUCUGGGAAGGUUAAGGUGCAUAUAACUUUACCAUGAUAAGCAGGGAGGUUAUUUUCAAAAUUCAAACUUUCAAGAAGAGCAGUUAAACAGCAAAAAAGGUAACAAGCG
RNAcentral lists this long non-coding RNA (262 nucleotides) under Olea europaea subsp. europaea. The record is from RNAcentral. Lineage: Eukaryota; Viridiplantae; Streptophyta; Magnoliopsida; Lamiales; Oleaceae.